ACUCCUACGGGAGGCAGCAGUGGGGAAUAUUGCACAAUGGGCGCAAGCCUGAUGCAGCCAUGCCGCGUGUAUGAAGAAGGCCUUCGGGUUGUAAAGUACUUUCAGCAGUGAGGAAGGUGGGUAUGUUAAUAGCAUACUCAUUUGACGUUAGCUGCAGAAGAAGCACCGGCUAACUCCGUGCCAGCAGCCGCGGUAAUACGGAGGGUGCGAGCGUUAAUCGGAAUUACUGGGCGUAAAGCGCAUGCAGGUGGUUUGUUAAGUCAGAUGUGAAAGCCCGGGGCUCAACCUCGGAAUUGCAUUUGAAACUGGCAAACUAGAGUACUGUAGAGGGGGGUAGAAUUUCAGGUGUAGCGGUGAAAUGCGUAGAGAUCUGAAGGAUACCGGUGGCGAAGGCGGCCCCCUGGACAGAUACUGACACUCAGAUGCGAAAGCGUGGGGAGCAAACAGGAUUAGAUACCCUGGUGACUCUGC
Molecule: ribosomal RNA, 471 nt
Filed under: uncultured bacterium
Lineage: Bacteria
Description: bacterial SSU rRNA
Rfam family: Bacterial small subunit ribosomal RNA
Source: RNAcentral